This 514-nucleotide ribosomal RNA is filed under the name uncultured bacterium. RNAcentral describes it as "bacterial SSU rRNA". It matches the Rfam family "Bacterial small subunit ribosomal RNA", at positions 28 to 529 of the family's 1533-position model. The record is from RNAcentral.
GAUGAACGCUAGCGGGAGGCUUAACACAUGCAAGUCGAGGGGCAGCAUAGGGUAGCAAUACUCUGAUGGCGACCGGCAAACGGGUGAGUAACGCGUAUGCAACCUACCCUGUACAGGGGGAUAACCCGGAGAAAUUCGGACUAAUAUCCCGUAAUAAUAUCCGGAGGCAUCUUUGGAUAUUUAAAGUUCCGACGGUACGGGAUGGGCAUGCGUAACAUUAGCUGGUUGGUAAGGUAACGGCUUACCAAGGCUAUGAUGUUUAGGGGUCCUGAGAGGGUGGUCCCCCACACUGGUACUGAGACACGGACCAGACUCCUACGGGAGGCAGCAGUGAGGAAUAUUGGUCAAUGGGCGCAAGCCUGAACCAGCCAUCCCGCGUGCAGGAAGACGGCCCUAUGGGUUGUAAACUGCUUUUCCAGGGAGAGAAACUUACGCACGUGUUGCGUGACUGACGGUACCCUGGGAAUAAGCAUCGGCUAACUCCGUGCCAGCAGCCGCGGUAAUCGUACUCGUA